This 558-nucleotide ribosomal RNA is filed under the name uncultured bacterium. RNAcentral's name for it is "partial 16S ribosomal RNA". It matches the Rfam family "Bacterial small subunit ribosomal RNA", at positions 355 to 905 of the family's 1533-position model. The record is from RNAcentral.
UGGGGAAUUUUGGACAAUGGGCGAAAGCCUGAUCCAGCAAUGCCGCGUGUGUGAAGAAGGCCUUCGGGUUGUAAAGCACUUUUGUCCGGAAAGAAAUCCUCUGGGUUAAUACCUCGGGGGGAUGACGGUACCGGAAGAAUAAGCACCGGCUAACUACGUGCCAGCAGCCGCGGUAAUACGUAGGCUGCAAGCGUUAAUCGGAAUUACUGGGCGUAAAGCGUGCGCAGGCGGUUUUGUAAGACGGAUGUGAAAUCCCCGGGCUUAACCUGGGAACUGCAUUCGUGACUGCAAGGCUAGAGUAUGGCAGAGGGGGGUAGAAUUCCACGUGUAGCAGUGAAAUGCGUAGAGAUGUGGAGGAAUACCGAUGGCGAAGGCAGCCCCCUGGGCCAAUACUGACGCUCAUGCACGAAAGCGUGGGGAGCAAACAGGAUUCAGAUACCCUGGUAGUCCACGCCCUAAACGAUGUCAACUAGUUGUUGGGGAUUCAUUUCCUUAGUAACGUAGCUAACGCGUGAAGUUGACCGCCUGGGGAGUACGGUCGCAAGAUUAAAACUCAAA